Lolium perenne is the source of this 4527-nucleotide non-coding RNA. The record is from RefSeq and is a predicted model, not a curated record. Lineage: Eukaryota; Viridiplantae; Streptophyta; Magnoliopsida; Poales; Poaceae.
UUGUCCCGCUACCCCAGACUGUCCAGACCCAAGGUGGCCGCUACCCACGAAACCCCCCUCCUCCCGUCCACACCGGCUCCCCUAGAUCCACAUCGUCGGGCCGCACCUGCGGCCUCCUCCGUCCACCGCCUCACCGAGGGCCAGCGGCUAGCAUGGAAAACCGCCGUCGAGGUGCUUCCACUCAUCUCUAUCUUCCCUUUCCGUCUGCCCUCCUUGGCCGGCAGUGGCCAUGGACAUGGGUCUCAUCGCAAAGCUUGAGACCGGAUCCAGGGCAAACCCUGACCCUCCCACCCCCAGAUCCACGUCCACCAGAUCCGCCCCGGGGAGAGAGACGGGAAGUGUGAAGGGCAGACCGCGAUUGGAAGGGCCAUCUCCUCUCCCCCGCACCUCCCCCCGUACGGGUCACCAUGGAGCUGGGCAACACAACAGGUCGACAUGUCUGCCUCCAUAGCGCCGCCCAGACUAUCGGUUCCCCUGGAUGACCGCCUCCUCCCCGAGCAUCUGCAGCUGCCUGCUGGUCUUCUCCAUGGGAUGCAACGCCGGCUUGGGAAAAGGAGCUCUAUGAACAGGUCAAGGUUGAUGCACGCCGGCUCUCUGUGCCACCGCGACGUGUCCACCGUCCACAUCGACGACUAUGACUGUCAGCGCCUCUUUGCCUGCUGGUGAUGCUGCCACAUGCUCAACUUUCUGGCAUUCCAGGUGAGGCUCGCUUGCAGUGUUUCCUUUUGUAGACCAAGGUUUGCUUUGGUUGAUGUUAGUUGGAGUUGAGAGAAUCUGUUCGUGCUUAUAAUUUUUUUGCCUGGCUGUUACGGGCUUCUGGCGGUUUGAGUCUGUUAGCCGGCGAAUGGUAAGGUUUCAGCUGGAGCGCUUGGCAAUUGGAUCAUUCCAACACCACCAUUAUGAAUUUAUCUGGAGCAGUGGUGCUUCAUCGUUCAAUAGUUCAAACUAUUAUGUAGACACUCAUGUUUAUACACUGGCAAAUACGAGUAAAAUAUUACAAUUUAUCUGGAGCAGUGGUGCUUCAUCGUUCAAUAGUUCAAACUAUUAUGAAUAAUCCUCUUUAUUCUUUCAGUUUUACAAAUAAUUUAUAUAACAACACUGGCAAAUAGGAGUAAAAUAUUUUUUAUCUGGUAGGCCAAACAAAAAAAGAUAGGAUUAUUCAUGUUCAAAGCCAAUUUCAGUGACCAAGUGCCAUGUACUCCUCAAGUGACAUUGUGACAUUAACUUUUUUUUUCUUUCAAUCUCCAAUACUGGAAAGUUCUGGGUGCUACUUCAUUGGAAUUUUGCCUUAUGGAUUAAACUGAAAUGCAAUCAAAGGGGCACAUAUAUAUUUGCUCUGAUGACCUUCAAUUUCAUCAAAUUUGCUAAAAACAAAUUUGUUUAGAUUUGUGAUUUGUUAUAGCUUAAGUAAUAUGCAACUUGCCGGAAGACAGUGUAAAUAAAGGUUGGAAAAGUUAGUUCCGCAGUAAUGUACUUUCUUGGGUUUCCGGUGUAUUGUUUUUACCAAAAUAACUCGGCGAGUUCACAGAAGUUCCUCUCUUUGUGUUCUCGGAGUGAUUAUGGUUUUCUCUACAAGCUAUACUAUAGAGAUAGUGUGCGGUGAAUUUUUCUCUGCUGGAAAGGAGAAGCUGAAAACUGUGAAGGCAAAGAUAUGUGCUCCAGUUUUCUCUGCUGAAAAGGACAAGCUAUACUAUAGAGAUAGUCAAAACGAGCUGGGCUGUCUAAUCUUGAGGCAGAGUAUCCGGAAGUAUGUGCUCCAUUUUCUUUUCAUUUAUGUUCUAUCAGUUUGAAGAGUUCUUGUAAGCUGGAGGUCCCCAGCAAGAAAAGCGAUGAUGUAAAACACUAUGCUUUGUGGUACAGUGUCAAUAUUUCACUCUAAGAAUUCCACUGCUAUAAAAAAAGAAAUCAUCUAAUAAAUUAUUGUCUUAUGAUAGUGGAUAUAAUGCCUGCAAGUUGGACUAAAUCAAAUUAAAUGUAGGCUCAGAAGCCGUACCCGGAAGGCGGCUACUACUCUGAGACCUUCUGCGCCUCCUGCCUUAGUGUAUGUGCAGAUGCCCGAUAUCUUACGUUUUCAGUGCUCGCUUUUCCUAUCUCGGGCUUCUGAAGUUGACUUUUUCCGACCACUCUCUCGUUGGAUAGGAACUACCUGCUUGUGCUCUUUCUUUCAGAAUGAUGAUAUGUACAAUAUACACAAACUGGUAGAGUAGCCUAUUAUGGACAGUGGGAAUUCAGAAUGAUAGUAUAAUGUGCCGUAUAAUAUAAUGUAUAAUCUGCGGUGCGAUGCGCAGGAUUGGACCGAAUUCUAUCGGGGUUGUGUCAAGUUAGCGUGUACGUGCCCAACAUUUUCUAUGCAUCAGGAAGUGUGCAGAAACCAGGGGUGGGAUUGGGGCCUGGGCCAGACAUAAUUCGUAUGUUUUGCUUAUUUCAUAUACUAUUGCUAAGUUUAUACUACUGUUACAUCCAUCUAGCACUGAAUCUUGUAUAAUGUGUCAUGUGUGCUAUGCCACUAACUGGUUUUAUGUUUGGAAGAUUGCAUUAUUGUACUUCCUGUGCUUCCUCUCGAACAUUAUAUUUACUUCCAGGAAAUUAAAAUGGUCGACUUUUCGAAGCCAGUGGGAUGGGUUCACAUAUCAUUAUCUGGCACUGAUACCCGGUAUGCAUUUUGUACCUUAACCAUAUAUUAGUCCUUCGACCGCCUUUUCCUUCAUCUGGCAUUGAAAAUUUGGAAGGUAGCUCACAUUACGCUAUACUAUGCAUUUAUGUUUUGGAAUUUCCAAAAUAGUUAUACUCCAGUUUGACAUUCCAUGCUUGUAUACUAAGUUUUUUAGCGCACUUCCUGUGUGCUCCACGGCCUGCAUAAUUUCAUGGUUGACCAUGUUACUAAAGAUGUAAUUGCUAGCACGUGAAUCUUCCUUGGACUUUGAGAAACUAAUAUAUACUCUAUCAAAGUUUCAGGUAUAUCUGAUGCUGGAGGUCACUCAUUUAACUCUAAAAAUUCAUAAGGAUUUACGCAUGCUUUAUCUUUUAGUUCAUGGUUGGAGUUAUUAUGGUAGAGUGAUUUGGCAGAAAAUGCAUCGCACCCUUUGUGUAAAUGGGAUCAGAUCAGCUACCUCUUGUUUACAUUUUAGAAGUUUGAUGGGGUACAUUUAGUCUGAGAAAUAUUUCACCACUUUUUUUUUAUUUUACAGGUUAAUAAGGUGUAAUUACUUAAUAGAUUGUGUGGUAUUGGUCGAAAGUAUAAAUGGUUUUACGGUAUCAAGUGAGUGCCCAGUUUCUGGCCAUUUUAAGAACAACCGUGGAUACAUACAUCUAUUGUGACUCGGAUGAUCUGUAUCCAGGAAGCAAUAUGGGUGCUGGAAGGCUGAUUGAGCUCUAGAUUCAUAGCAGCCGCUGUUCUACCCUUUUUAUGGAUUACCCAUGACUAUUAGAUCACAUAAUUACACUUUUUUGGUCAACACUUCAGUGAGGUCACUAGAACUAUGAUAUCAUUUAGACCUACGAACCAUGCACAGUUAAGUUUGUCAAUAUAUAGCUGAUUUUUCGCCAUCAGCCUAAUGCGUCUGCCUUUUGGAGUACGAACUUGAAAUAUGGUCUGUAUCCAGGAAGCAAUACGGGUGCUGGAAUGCUGAGUGAGCUCUAGAUUCAUAGCAGCUACUGUUCUACCCAUUUUAUGGAUUACCAAUGACUAUUGGAUCACAGAAUUACACCUCUUUGGUCAACACUUCAAUGAGGUCACUAGAACUAUGAUAUCAACAUUUAGACCUACGAACCAUGCACUGUUAAGUUUGUGAAUAUAUAGCUUAAGCAUAAUUGUGCAUGUUUAUAGUCAUGUGUUGUGAUUGCAUCAUAUAUAAUUUUUCUAAACUUAGCGACUUAUUGUUUGUUUUUUCAUGUGAAGAGAAUAUCAUAUUCGAGCAACCCAGCAUGAAUAGUGUCAGGCAGCACUUGCACAAGGGCUUGACAAGGCCAAGCUGAGUGUUAAACAAGACCAGCGCCAUGUGACAAUCCACACCGGUGAGGAACGUGGGGACGAGUGGGUGCGCAUGCACAGCCUGCCCUCCCAUUCAUUUUGUUAGCAUGUCUUCACAUCGACAUUGGAUUCAGUUCAUGCGAAGAGGGCACAAGAUGCUACAAGCUUCGAUGCUGAGAAUUUCCAUGACUGCGUGUUGUAUUUGCAGGAGUGGCUACUUGAUGUGUAUGUGUGAGUGAUUUAGUAUGGUGUGGAGAAAACGAGAUGGAAAUGUUUAAUGAUUGUGGCCAUGAGUGUGCUUUUUGCUGACUAUGGAUAUUCUUUGGAGAGGAGACUCGUCAGCUCCUCUAUUGUUGAUAUGCCUCUCUUGGAAACUAUGAGCAGAACUGCGGAAGCCCAAGCAGGAGUAGAGCUUGUCCAUUUUGUAUGAAAAAAUUAACUAAAAUGCUUUGAUAUGAUUUAGAGAGUACUAUUUCUUGAGCAGGGCAUUUUGGAGCUCGGGCUACAUGGAGCCCGGUUUUCAAAAAUAUGAAUGGUAGACUCAUAAUUUUUGGGUA